GACGAACGCUGGCGGCGUGCUUAACACAUGCAAGUCGAACGGAAAGGCCCUGCUUUUGUGGGGUGCUCGAGUGGCGAACGGGUGAGUAACACGUGAGUAACCUGCCCUUGACUUUGGGAUAACUUCAGGAAACUGGGGCUAAUACCGGAUAGGAGCUCCUGCUGCAUGGUGGGGGUUGGAAAGUUUCGGCGGUUGAGGAUGGACUCGCGGCUUAUCAGCUUGUUGGUGGGGUAGUGGCUUACCAAGGCUUUGACGGGUAGCCGGCCUGAGAGGGUGACCGGCCACAUUGGGACUGAGAUACGGCCCAGACUCCUACGGGAGGCAGCAGUGGGGAAUAUUGCACAAUGGGCGGAAGCCUGAUGCAGCAACGCCGCGUGCGGGAUGAUGGCCUUCGGGUUGUAAACCGCUUUCGCCUGUGACGAAGCGUGAGUGACGGUAAUGGGUAAAGAAGCACCGGCUAACUACGUG
Molecule: ribosomal RNA, 468 nt
Filed under: uncultured bacterium
Lineage: Bacteria
Description: partial 16S ribosomal RNA
Rfam family: Bacterial small subunit ribosomal RNA
Source: RNAcentral